This 497-nucleotide ribosomal RNA is filed under the name uncultured bacterium. RNAcentral's name for it is "partial 16S ribosomal RNA". It matches the Rfam family "Bacterial small subunit ribosomal RNA", at positions 28 to 507 of the family's 1533-position model. The record is from RNAcentral.
GAUGAACGCUGGCGGCGUGCCUAAUACAUGCAAGUCGAGCGAACGGACGAGAAGCUUGCUUCUCUGAUGUUAGCGGCGGACGGGUGAGUAACACGUGGAUAACCUACCUAUAAGACUGGGAUAACUUCGGGAAACCGGAGCUAAUACCGGAUAAUAUUUUGAACCGCAUGGUUCAAAAGUGAAAGACGGUCUUGCUGUCACUUAUAGAUGGAUCCGCGCUGCAUUAGCUAGUUGGUAAGGUAACGGCUUACCAAGGCAACGAUGCAUAGCCGACCUGAGAGGGUGAUCGGCCACACUGGAACUGAGACACGGUCCAGACUCCUACGGGAGGCAGCAGUAGGGAAUCUUCCGCAAUGGGCGAAAGCCUGACGGAGCAACGCCGCGUGAGUGAUGAAGGUCUUCGGAUCGUAAAACUCUGUUAUUAGGGAAGAACAGAUGUGUAAGUAACUGUGCACAUCGUGACGGUACCUAAUCAGAAAGCCACGGCUAACUACGUG